Molecule: ribosomal RNA, 460 nt
Filed under: uncultured bacterium
Lineage: Bacteria
Description: partial 16S ribosomal RNA
Rfam family: Bacterial small subunit ribosomal RNA
Source: RNAcentral
CCUACGGGUGGCUGCAGUGAGGAAUAUUGGUCAAUGGACGGAAGGCUGAACCAGCCAUGCCGCGUGCAGGAAGACGGCUCUAUGAGUUGUAAACUUCUUUUAUACAAGGAUAAAGCUGUAUACGUGUAUACAGCUGAAAGUACCGUACGAAUAAGGAUCGGCUAACUCCGUGCCAGCAGCCGCGGUAAUACGGAGGAUGCAAGCGUUAUCCGGAUUUAUUGGGUUUAAAGGGUGCGUAGGCGGUUUGAUAAGUUAGCGGUGAAAUUUCCGGGCUUAACACGGGAACUGCCUCUAAAACUGUUAGUCUUGAGAGUAUUUGCGGUAGGCGGAAUGUAUGGUGUAGCGGUGAAAUGCUUAGAGAUCAUACAGAACACCGAUUGCGAAGGCAGCUUACCAAUCUAUAUCUGACGUUGAGGCACGAAAGCGUGGGGAGCAAACAGGAUUAGAUACCCUAGUAGUC